RNAcentral lists this ribosomal RNA (321 nucleotides) under uncultured eukaryote. RNAcentral describes it as "partial 18S ribosomal RNA". It matches the Rfam family "Eukaryotic small subunit ribosomal RNA", at positions 1470 to 1796 of the family's 1831-position model. The record is from RNAcentral.
CCCUUAGAUGUUCUGGGCCGCACGCGCGCUACACUGACGCGUUCAACGAGUCUCCUUGGCCGAGAGGCCUGGGUAAUCUUGUGAACGUGUGUCGUGAUAGGGAUAGAUUAUUGCAAUUAUUAAUCUUGAACGAGGAAUUCCUAGUAAACGCAGAUCAUCAAUCUGCAUUGAUUACGUCCCUGCCCUUUGUACACACCGCCCGUCGCACCUACCGAUUGGAUGGUCCGGUGAGGCCUCGGGAUUGUGGCCGGUGCAUUCAUUUGUGUCGGUUGCGAGAACUUGUCCAAACCUUAUCAUCUAGAGGAAGGUGAAGUCGUAACA